This is a non-coding RNA of Podarcis lilfordi (Lilford's wall lizard), 67 nucleotides long. NCBI's taxonomy places the organism in Eukaryota, Metazoa, Chordata, Lepidosauria, Squamata, Lacertidae. The record is from the annotation of a GenBank genome assembly.
ACAGUUCAGUGGGUAGAGUAUGAGACUCUUAAUCUCAGGGUUUUGGGUUCAAUCCCCACGUUCGGCA